Molecule: ribosomal RNA, 677 nt
Filed under: Salmonella enterica
Lineage: Bacteria; Pseudomonadati; Pseudomonadota; Gammaproteobacteria; Enterobacterales; Enterobacteriaceae
Also listed under: 1 other name
Description: partial 23S ribosomal RNA
Rfam family: Bacterial large subunit ribosomal RNA
Source: RNAcentral
GUGGGUAGUUUGACUGGGGCGGUCUCCUCCUAAAGAGUAACGGAGGAGCACGAAGGUUGGCUAAUCCUGGUCGGACAUCAGGAGGUUAGUGCAAUGGCAUAAGCCAGCUUGACUGCGAGCGUGACGGCGCGAGCAGGUGCGAAAGCAGGUCAUAGUGAUCCGGUGGUUCUGAAUGGAAGGGCCAUCGCUCAACGGAUAAAAGGUACUCCGGGGAUAACAGGCUGAUACCGCCCAAGAGUUCAUAUCGACGGCGGUGUUUGGCACCUCGAUGUCGGCUCAUCACAUCCUGGGGCUGAAGUAGGUCCCAAGGGUAUGGCUGUUCGCCAUUUAAAGUGGUACGCGAGCUGGGUUUAGAACGUCGUGAGACAGUUCGGUCCCUAUCUGCCGUGGGCGCUGGAGAACUGAGGGGGGCUGCUCCUAGUACGAGAGGACCGGAGUGGACGCAUCACUGGUGUUCGGGUUGUCAUGCCAAUGGCACUGCCCGGUAGCUAAAUGCGGAAGAGAUAAGUGCUGAAAGCAUCUAAGCACGAAACUUGCCCCGAGAUGAGUUCUCCCUGAGACUUUAGGUCUCCUGAAGGAACGUUGAAGACGACGACGUUGAUAGGCCGGGUGUGUAAGCGCAGCGAUGCGUUGAGCUAACCGGUACUAAUGAACCGUGAGGCUUAACCUUACAACGC